Molecule: transfer-messenger RNA, 339 nt
Filed under: Didymosphenia geminata (rock snot)
Lineage: Eukaryota; Bacillariophyta; Bacillariophyceae; Cymbellales; Cymbellaceae
Description: ssrA
Rfam family: transfer-messenger RNA
About the family: Bacterial tmRNA, also known as 10Sa RNA or SsrA, is named for its dual tRNA and mRNA-like properties.
Source: RNAcentral
GGGACUGCUCUGGUUUCGACAUUUAAAAUUUGUUAAUUCAUGAUUCAGGCCGAAGCUUGUAUUCUUCGUAAAAAUCUACAAUCUUAAAAAUAAAUGCUAAUAAUAUAAUUUCUUUUAUUUCUCAAACGGUAAAUUUUAAUGUUAACAAAACUUCUUUACGAUUUGCUGUUUAAUCAUUAAACAUACUUUAUCCUAAAUUUUUUGUUCUCUACAUAUUGAAAUUCUUUUUAAAUGUAGUUUAGAAUAAUUUUAACAAACAUUUGUUCUUUGAAACUAAGCCUGUGAACGAGUAAAUUAAAAACUUUUAAAUGGACAUGGGUUCAAUUCCCAUCAGUUCCA